CCUACGUGAGGCAGCAGUGAGGAAUAUUGGUCAAUGGACGAGAGUCUGAACCAGCCAAGUAGCGUGAAGGAUGACUGCCCUAUGGGUUGUAAACUUCUUUUAUAAAGGAAUAAAACGAGGCACGUGUGCCUUUUUGCAUGUACUUUAUGAAUAAGGAUCGGCUAACUCCGUGCCAGCAGCCGCGGUAAUACGGAGGAUCCGAGCGUUAUCCGGAUUUAUUGGGUUUAAAGGGAGCGUAGAUGGGUUGUUAAGUCAGUUGUGAAAGUUUGCGGCUCAACCGUAAAAUUGCAAUUGAUACUGGCAGUCAUGAGUACAGUUGAGGUAAGCGGAAUUCGUGGUGUAGCGGUGAAAUGCUUAGAUAUCACGAAGAACCCCGAUUGCGAAGGCAGCUUACUAAACUGUGGCUGACAUUGAUGCUCGAAAGUGUGGGUAUCAAACAGGAUUAGAUACCCGGGUAGUC
This 460-nucleotide ribosomal RNA is filed under the name uncultured bacterium. RNAcentral describes it as "partial 16S ribosomal RNA". It matches the Rfam family "Bacterial small subunit ribosomal RNA", at positions 338 to 795 of the family's 1533-position model. The record is from RNAcentral.